RNAcentral lists this transfer RNA (90 nucleotides) under Dehalococcoidales bacterium. RNAcentral describes it as "tRNA-Ser". It matches the Rfam family "tRNA". From Rfam's summary of the family: Transfer RNA (tRNA) molecules are approximately 80 nucleotides in length. Lineage: Bacteria; Bacillati; Chloroflexota; Dehalococcoidia; Dehalococcoidales. The record is from RNAcentral.
GGAGGGGUGUCCGAGAGGCCUAAGGAGGCGGUCUUGAAAACCGCUGUUAUCGCAAGGUAACCGUGGGUUCGAAUCCCACCCCCUCCGCCA